This is a small nucleolar RNA of Nycticebus coucang (slow loris), 158 nucleotides long. RefSeq annotates it as small nucleolar RNA SNORA29. The record is from RefSeq and is a predicted model, not a curated record. The transcript has a single exon. NCBI's taxonomy places the organism in Eukaryota, Metazoa, Chordata, Mammalia, Primates, Lorisidae.
CUUCCCCUUUUAUCACUUUUUAUCCUAAUAAUAGAUUUUAGUGGUGACGCUUAUGGGAUAGAUACAAUUGUCAUGAUCUGAAAAGGGAGGUUUUAUUCAUUCAUUUAUUUGUUUGUUUUGGAAUCCUCAUUCUAUACGAAGUAUUUGGACAGAAAUUU